CUACUUGAGAUUUCCCUCGUGGUGCCAGGGUCCGGCGAGCAUCACGCCGAGGCCCAUUUUCCAGACGACCACGACGAGGCCGGGGUCACUGCGUUUUCUGGGAGGCACUUUGCUUGACAGUAGGAAGACGAUGCUGAGAUGCAGUCCCUGGCUGUGGAGUAACUCGAGCGUCUUAGGGGUGUAGCCUGUAAAUGAUGGACUUCCCCGGCUCCCUCCGCCCUGCGUUGUUUAUGACCGGCCCUCUUGGUCUGAGUGACGUCCCUGACCUCUCUUUCAUGUGCAGCUGGCAAGAUGCGCUGACCCUGCCAGAGGCCCAGCCCCAGAACUCAGAGAAUGGGGCACUGCAUGUGACCAAGGACCUGCUGUGGGAGCCGGCAACCCCUGGGCCUCUCCCCAUGCUGCCUCCCCUCAUCGAUCCCUGGGACCCUGGCCUGACUGCCCGGGACCUGCUUUUCCGCGGAGGGUACCGGUAUCGGAGGCGGCCCCGAGUCGUGCUGGAUGUUACUGAGCAGGUGAGUGGGCCCACGGGGGACAGUGCUGCGUAGCCUGGAGACUGUGCUUAGUGACCUGGCCUCCUCCUCUCCCCAGAUCAGCCGGUUCCUCUGGGAUCAUGGAGACGUAGCCUUUGCGCCCCUGGGGAAGCUGAUGCUGGAGAAUUUCAAGCUGGAGGGAACAGCGAGCCGCACUAAGAAGAAGACAGUGGUCAGUGUGAAGAAGCUGCUCCAGGACCUCGGUGGACACCAGCCCUGGGGGUGUCCCUGGGCUUACCUCAGCAACCGACAGCGCCGCUUCUCUAUCCUCGGGGGCCCCAUCCUGGGCACAUCGGUGGCGAGCCACUUGGCAGAGCUGCUGCACGAGGAGCUGGUGCUGCGGUGGGAGCAGCUGCUUCUGGAUGAGGCCUGCACUGGGGGCGCGCUAGCCUGGGUGCCUGGAAGGACACCCCAGUUCGGGCAGCUGGUCUACCCUGCUGGAGGCGCCCUGGACAGGCUGCAUUUCCAAGAGGUCGUUCUGACCCCAGGUGACAGUCCCCAAUUCCUUGGGAACCCUGGACGCAUCCAGCUCCAGGGACCUGUCCGGCAGGUGGUGACAUGCACCGUCCAGGGAGAAACUCUGCUGGCCGUCCGCUCUGACUACCACUGUGCCGUGUGGAAGUUUGGUAAACAGUGGCAGCCAACCCUUCUGCAGGCAAUGCAGGUGGAGAAAGGGGCCACAGGGAUCAGCCUCAGCCCUCACCUGCCUGGGGAGCUGGCCAUCUGCAGCCGCUCAGGAGCCGUCUGCCUGUGGAGCCCUGAGGAUGGGUAUUGCCGCUUCCUGUGAAACCCCCCACCCUAACAAACUGAACUCUGCCCUGUUCAGCAUGUCACGACCCUUGAGCCCCUUCCACCUCAGCCUGU
RNAcentral lists this small RNA (1394 nucleotides) under Pongo abelii (Sumatran orangutan). Its description in RNAcentral is "retained intron". Lineage: Eukaryota; Metazoa; Chordata; Mammalia; Primates; Hominidae. The record is from RNAcentral.